This 1263-nucleotide long non-coding RNA is filed under the name Helianthus annuus (common sunflower). RNAcentral describes it as "hypothetical non coding rna". The record is from RNAcentral. Lineage: Eukaryota; Viridiplantae; Streptophyta; Magnoliopsida; Asterales; Asteraceae.
GCACCCUUUAUUUCGUGCAAAACACUACAUUUAUACGUUUGAUUUUACUUCUAGUUAGUUUCUUUUAUCAUCUCAAAUUGAAAGUACAAGUCAUGUCUUCGGGUCCAAUUCUUUGUAUCCAACAGUCAGCAUACAAAGAUUGAUGAAUGAGGCAUCUGGACUUGUUUGGCUGAACCUUUCCAUGUAUUGUGAGUGUUGAGCUCGAUGGUCAAGUGAUCUCUGUUGUUGCUUUGGCAUUUAAGUUGGUAACUUAUCAGAGUUAUUGUUUAUUUUGGCUCUCAUGAGGAUUAACGUGCCCAAAAAUAGGUCAUAACAGAAUUUCCAAGGUGAGCAAUCAUUCAUUUAUCAUAUUUUCUUGACCCAAGUACAUAUAUCAUUUACCUACACUUUAGUCAUGCAAUCCUCAUGAGAGCAAAAUAAGCAAUAACUUGAUAAUACCACAUUAUAGCGAAAGUAAAAAUGGUGAUCACUUGCCCAUGAGGCCGAACACUCUUAAUAGCAUGGUGUCAACCAAACAAGCCUAGUUACCACAUUUUAAUCAAAUUUGAGUUUUCAAUAAAGAUGAAAGAAGACAAUGGAGGAUUAAAUAUUACAUGAACCUGUGUCAAAACAACGAUAAAUGAUCUCUAUCUGUUAUAUUCGUAUGGGCGGCUUUCCUUGUGUAAAGAUCCAACCCACCUAUUGAUGACAAUGUAACAACCUAACUAACCUAAAUAGCUAAGGUAAGUAGGACAUUGUAUCCAUAUGGAAAAUAUGGUUAGUAUUAUAGUCUCGUUGAUAAUUAAGAAAAUGCAAAAAACGUGUAUUGAAGAUUGAAUUAAGCUAAAGCUAAACCAGUUUGCAAUGAAACUAUGAAGCAAGCAACAAAACAUAGGUAUGGUGAUAACUUUGUUUAAUCGGCUACAUAGACAUAACUUAUCUUGAUCUUAGCACUCACGUAGAGCAUCGUGAUUCAUGUGCUUAUACACCACUUUUGAUCCUUAUGCAUGAUUGGGUGACCCACUAUAAAUUGUACGUCGAAUCAAUAUUGAGGAAUUAAUCACACUAAAAUGAAUACAAAUCACAUACAUAUGACUAACAUUCGUUAGAAUGUUUAAGUUGAAUUGUAACCUGUUAACUUGAUAUGUGACAUCUGUAUUAGAAUACUUAGUAUCCAUAACCAAUAUAAUUAAAUUACCUUUAGAUACGAAUUAGAGCAGAUCGCACCAGUAGGACUUCUACUGGUAUUCAACAUUUUGUAAUGAGUUAUAAAUGAUUUGUUCU